UACACUCCUACGGGAGGCAGCAGUGGGGAAUAUUGGACAAUGGGCGCAAGCCUGAUCCAGCCAUGCCGCGUGAGUGAUGAAGGCCCUAGGGUUGUAAAGCUCUUUCACCGGUGAAGAUAAUGACGGUAACCGGAGAAGAAGCCCCGGCUAACUUCGUGCCAGCAGCCGCGGUAAUACGAAGGGGGCUAGCGUUGUUCGGAUUUACUGGGCGUAAAGCGCACGUAGGCGGACUAUUAAGUCAGGGGUGAAAUCCCGGGGCUCAACCCCGGAACUGCCUUUGAUACUGGUAGUCUUGAGUUCGAGAGAGGUGAGUGGAAUUCCGAGUGUAGAGGUGAAAUUCGUAGAUAUUCGGAGGAACACCAGUGGCGAAGGCGGCUCACUGGCUCGAUACUGACGCUGAGGUGCGAAAGCGUGGGGAGCAAACAGGAUUAGAAACCCGAGUAGUCCCAUGA
Molecule: ribosomal RNA, 452 nt
Filed under: uncultured organism
Description: partial 16S ribosomal RNA
Rfam family: Bacterial small subunit ribosomal RNA
Source: RNAcentral